Molecule: long non-coding RNA, 242 nt
Filed under: Carica papaya (papaya)
Lineage: Eukaryota; Viridiplantae; Streptophyta; Magnoliopsida; Brassicales; Caricaceae
Description: long non-coding RNA (CPAP_LNC009361)
Source: RNAcentral
UGAGAUUUCAGGUAAUGAAACUCUUACAUACUCCUCCUCCACAACGCUCCACAGAUCAUAAGCAAGAAGAUAGACUUCUAUUCUCAUUGCCCAAUAAUCAUAGUUCUCCCCUGUAAAUAUUGGUGGAGCUAACAAGUUGACAUUUGAAGCCAUUUGAAUUACUCACAACUCAAGGCCCUUAAAGAAUACUGUUCUGAUACCACUAUUGGAAGAAAAAGCUUGUUGUUUUUGUGUUUGUAAUU